UCCAAAUUCCGUCGCCGACGAUGACGCAGACGUGGAAUUGGUGUUUAAACCGUCACUCUGCAGGAUAUUUUCUAGUGCCUUUACCACUUGGCUCAUAGUUGGACGAUCCGCAGCUGAUUCUUCGACGCAUUGCAUUUCCAGAUGUAGUGGUUGUUGAAACGGGGAUAGAUCCUGUCAACUGAUUGUCUGCCAAGUCGAGCCAGUACAGCAUGGAAAGCUUACCAAAGGAAGCAGUAAUCCAUCCUUACAGAAAAGAUAGGUUCUCAAGAUUGCCCAGCUCGUCUGGUAUCGUACCACUGAAGCCGCAUCCAGCCAAGAUUCUGGAAAAGAUAAAAAAAAAACAUUACGAGACUAAUUCAAGAGCAGUUCCAUUGUUAUUAUUGAAUCUUAUUAUCUUACAGAAUGUUUAGUUGUUGCAGGUCAGCCAAACGCGAAGAGAGGGAACCAGUCAAUUGACGAUUGAAUGAGACAUCCCUGAUACAAAAGCACUUUCGAAAAUAAGGUAACACCUUCCCACGGUAAUCCACAAGGAUCAUCGGAUUCCCCCCAGCUUGGCGGUGUAUUCUUCCAUUGAUCCUUUAAAGACCUCAGUGCUGCGGCUGCAUCAACAACACCCAUUCAGAAGUUGAAAAACUCAUUGUUAUAUGUCAAAAUGUCGAUAUAUACGAAAUAAGAAAGACAGAAAACAAACUCACCAUCAUUAGGAUCUGUGACGGAAGAGAUCAAACGAAUUCUUGCGCAGAACAGUAGAAGAACUGAGAGAAAGCAACCACAUGGAAACAGACAAGAAACAAUUUUGGUAGGUGUCAGAAAGAGAAAGAGAAAGGUUGAGGUAAAGAAACCUUUUAAUUGAUUAAGCUUUUCUUUGAAGCCAAUCAAUGUUUUCCCUCUUUUUCCUCACAGGCUCCCAGCCCCACUACUCCAUUUAUGCCCCAUAAUCAUAGUCAUGAUUGUUACUUGGCACCUUAUUAUUAACAAAAAUUACUUUCUUUUACUAUUGAUUACAGUUUCAAAUUUAAUCCCUACUUGCAAAGUCUAUACUUUCAUGAUAGCUAAUUGAGCAUGCUGCCAUUGGUUUCUACCCACUAAUGAAGGAAGAACAGACAUGC
This is a long non-coding RNA of Impatiens glandulifera, 1109 nucleotides long. RefSeq lists it as uncharacterized. NCBI's taxonomy places the organism in Eukaryota, Viridiplantae, Streptophyta, Magnoliopsida, Ericales, Balsaminaceae. The record is from RefSeq and is a predicted model, not a curated record. The transcript has 5 exons.